Molecule: small RNA, 56 nt
Filed under: Caenorhabditis elegans
Lineage: Eukaryota; Metazoa; Nematoda; Chromadorea; Rhabditida; Rhabditidae
Description: Unclassified non-coding RNA F54C4.6
Source: RNAcentral
AUUCGGUGUUUGCGUACUUCUGGCGCUACAGUAACCCGGAAAAUUUAAAAUUUUUG